Molecule: ribosomal RNA, 254 nt
Filed under: uncultured bacterium
Lineage: Bacteria
Description: partial 16S ribosomal RNA
Rfam family: Bacterial small subunit ribosomal RNA
Source: RNAcentral
UACGUAGGGUGCGAGCGUUGUCCGGAAUUAUUGGGCGUAAAGAGCUCGUAGGCGGUGUGUCACGUCGAUCGUGAAAACUUUCAGCUUAACUGGGAGCUUGCGGUCGAUACGGGCAUCACUGGAGUUCGGCAGGGGAGACUGGAAUUCAAGGUGUAGCGGUGAAAUGCGCAGAUAUCUUGAGGAACACCGAUGGCGAAGGCAGGUCACUGGGCCGCAACUGACGCUGAGGAGCGAAAGCAUGGGGAGCGAACAGG